This 497-nucleotide ribosomal RNA is filed under the name uncultured bacterium. RNAcentral's name for it is "partial 16S ribosomal RNA". It matches the Rfam family "Bacterial small subunit ribosomal RNA", at positions 28 to 507 of the family's 1533-position model. The record is from RNAcentral.
GAUGAACGCUGGCGGCGUGCCUAAUACAUGCCAGUCGAGCGAACGGACGAGAAGCUUGCUUUUCUGAUGUUAGCGGCGGACGGGUGAGAAACACGUGGAUAACCUACCUAUAAGACUGGGAUAACUUCGGGAAAUCGGAGCUAAUACCGGAUAAUAUUUUGAACCGCAUGGUUCAAAAGUGAAAGACGGUCUUGCUGUCACUUAUAGAUGGAUCCGCGCUGCAUUAGCUAGUUGGUAAGGUAACGGCUUACCAAGGCAACGAUGCAUAGCCGACCUGAGAGGGUGAUCGGCCACACUGGAACUGAGACACGGUCCAGACUCCUACGGGAGGCAGCAGUAGGGAAUCUUCCGCAAUGGGCGAAAGCCUGACGGAGCAACGCCGCGUGAGUGAUGAAGGUCUUCGGAUCGUAAAACUCUGUUAUUAGGGAAGAACACAUGUGUAAGUAACUGUGCACAUCUUGACGGUACCUAAUCAGAAAGCCACGGCUAACUACGUG